Molecule: transfer RNA, 71 nt
Filed under: Loxodonta africana (African savanna elephant)
Lineage: Eukaryota; Metazoa; Chordata; Mammalia; Proboscidea; Elephantidae
Rfam family: tRNA
About the family: Transfer RNA (tRNA) molecules are approximately 80 nucleotides in length. Their secondary structure includes four short double-helical elements and three loops (D, anti-codon, and T loops).
Source: Rfam by way of RNAcentral
GCACUAGUGGUUCAGAGGUAGAAUUCCCACCUUUCAUGAGGGAGACACGGGUUUGAUUCCCAGCCAAUGCA